Molecule: non-coding RNA, 74 nt
Organism: Lingula anatina
Lineage: Eukaryota; Metazoa; Brachiopoda; Lingulata; Lingulida; Lingulidae
Source: Rfam
UGUGGGGUAGAGCAGUGGUUAGCUCGUCAGGCUCAUAACCUGAAGGUCGUCUGGUUCGAUUCCAGCCUCCACAA